This is a non-coding RNA of Paramuricea clavata, 468 nucleotides long. The record is from the annotation of a GenBank genome assembly. Lineage: Eukaryota; Metazoa; Cnidaria; Anthozoa; Malacalcyonacea; Plexauridae.
UGUAGGUACUCUUGAUAUUCCAGGGAAGGUCCUUAAUGUCAGGAAGUAAUAGUAACAUGUGGGGCAGUACAUAUACAUCUCAUUCAUGUUACUAACCAGCAAAAUUUUUAAUUUUUAGAAUGAAGAACAAACCAAUAUUUCAGUCAAAGUUUUAGAGGCCAGGUAUUUUUUUGAUAAUAUAUUUUAAAGUUUAGGAUCCAGUGUAGCUAGGUUGAAUUGUACCUGACAAAGAUUAUAGAAACACUUCAAUAUUUGGUCAACCAUGGCACCUUGUUGUUACAGGAAUCUUGGAAUGAAACAAAAGCAUGUCUCGGAUCCAUUUGUAAGAAUCAGUUUACGUCCAAAAGAAGACGGACCUUAUGAGAUGAGACGAAAAUCUGAUGGGAUGAAUUUCAAGGAACAAAAACGAACUAGUGUAAGAAAUACUAUUAUGUACUUGUUCCUCUCACCACCAACACCAUCACAUAC